This 222-nucleotide unclassified non-coding RNA is filed under the name plant metagenome. Its description in RNAcentral is "partial contains small subunit ribosomal RNA, internal transcribed spacer 1, and 5.8S ribosomal RNA". The record is from RNAcentral.
UUUCCGUAGGUGAACCUGCGGAAGGAUCAUUAAAGAGACGUUGCCCUUCGGGGUAUACCUCCCACCCAUUGUUUAUUUACCUUUGUUGCUUUGGCAGUCCCGGCUUCGGCCCACCGGCUCCGGCUGGUCAGUGACUGUCGAAGAUACCAAAACUCUGUUUGUUAAUAUUGUCUGAGUACUAUAUAAUAGUUAAAACUUCCAACAACGGAUCUCUUGGUUCUG